AGCUAGGAAAGCAAGUGUGCAUGAUACGCGAUACGGUACGGUAUACGCGAUAUGUUCGUACGCUAAACCCAAAGAUACGGCACUACCGUACACUACUACUAGUCUGCUUGUGACUAUGUUUAUGGUUCAACUUGCUCGAUCAGAAUUCUCACUUGUGAUAAGUGCAUAAGGCGUCCAAGUCACGCGGUUUAAAUGUUUAUGCACACAAGCAGUGUUUGGAACCUGUCAGAACCUUACAGAUGACCAGCAGGCUAGCAUAAACGCAUUGUGUGAUGGCAAGCAUCUUUCAGGAUGAAGGUGUCUGUUCCCGCCCCAACCUACAAGCUGCUGUGAAGACAACAAGCCUACACAUAUUUUCUGAUGUACAUGUAUCUUCUGGAAUUGUAGUGCCAGGCAGUCACGCAAAUCUUGUGAGAUUGUUUUCUGACUUAAUUAAAAAUGUCAUGCAUCUCUAGUAACAUGAAUUAGACCCUGGCACAUGGAUUGGGGCGGUGAAGCCUCAAUGCUGGUCACUGCUAGUAAUGUUUAAAAAGUAAUGAAAGUAGGAAGGCCGUCAAACAUAGUUAUUCUCUUUCUAGAAAGAGUCGGCACAAACACACAUGCUGUGUCACUCCAUUUUGAUGUUAAUGUUAUGUAUCGGCUUCCUUUAUUAAAUUUUCAUUUAUUGACCAAAUGUAUCAAGUAUGGACACACUCACAGAAAAUGCUAAAGAAGAAUUUAACGCCAGAGUAAGAAUUUUCAGUCUUGAGAGAGUGACAAAUAUGCUGAUGUAAUUGCAUCGUAAUAUACAUUUAAAAAAUGUAGUCUAUAAAAAAUAAUUUAUGACAUUCUUUAUUCAAAGUGUAAUGAGCCAUGGUUCAAAGUAGUGGUUUAGUUUUAAACUCAUCAGGUUUUUACGGUGAAGUAUUCACCAUCAAUCUUUGAUUUCACUUGUUGGGACAUUGAGGCUCUUGAAUAUGCCCCCUCCCCUCCUGACAUCAAAAGCUGCAUUGUCUAUACGCCACUGCCAUUGAUCGACCAAUCAGGAUCAAGUUUGUUUGAAAUAAUUACUGAUGCAAAUAAUGCAUUGCAGGCAUAGAGAAUUCAGUAUACUUUGAAUCAUGCAGCUUCACUUGGAAAGUCCUUGCACCUUUGUGUAACCUUACCACUUUUUUUAAGUGUAUGGGCUCUUUGGAUGUCCGUUUUUCCUCUUACGAAAGUUUGUUUCUCUUUUACAUGUUGUGAUAUUUGUACAAUUAAAAUGAUGUACAUGUAAAUUAAUUGAGGAGAUAAAUAUUCAACAGAUUCAAUAAUUAAGACUUUAAAAUGUGUAUUAUUAGAGUGUUGUGUAUACAUGGUUUGUCAACACCGAUUGAAAUAAUGCA
Molecule: long non-coding RNA, 1364 nt
Organism: Patiria miniata (bat star)
Lineage: Eukaryota; Metazoa; Echinodermata; Asteroidea; Valvatida; Asterinidae
Exons: 3
Source: RefSeq, a predicted model, not a curated record